RNAcentral lists this unclassified non-coding RNA (2310 nucleotides) under Hevea brasiliensis (rubber tree). The record is from RNAcentral. Lineage: Eukaryota; Viridiplantae; Streptophyta; Magnoliopsida; Malpighiales; Euphorbiaceae.
AAGAACCUGGGCAACACUACUGGGUAAGUUUUUCUCAUCCAUUUUUAGGGUUGCACAGUUAUUUCAUUCACUCCAUUCGUAAUCUUUAGCAUUUUUCCUUUCAGAAUUGAUUUUAAUACCGUGAAUUAAAAAAUGCGUGAUUUAAUUGAGCUAUCUAAAAUGUUUUCAUAAUUGAAAGCAUUCUAAAUUUCCUUCUUGACUAUUGUUAAAAGUAGGCAUGCCAAAACUUGGAAUUUAAAUUUAUUUUACUUGGAAUUAUAUGCUUGCUUGGUGACCAAAAAACUUGGUCAACACUAAAAAAGUAGAAAUUCAAUGCUAUACUUGUGUUGGUUACUGAGUUAACAUUUUUUCUUAUUUUCAUUAAUUUGACAUUGUCUAAUAAAGUGUCAUUUCAUGCCUCAUCAUUAAUAUUUUCCCUUUUAGAGUUGAUUUUAAUACAUUGAAUAAAAAAAUUGCAUGAUUUAGUUAUGCCAUCUAAAAUGUUUUCACAAUUGAAACAAUUUUAAAUGUCCUACUUGACUAUUAUUAAAAGUAUGCUUGCCAAAAUAAGAUCAUAUCAUUUAAGCUCUGAGACUUGUUGCGCAAUUGUCUGCUAUUUCAAUCGGUUUAUUUUUCAGUUAUUUUAUGCUUUAAGAAGUAUGCUCUUAUCAAAUACAUUAUAUAUGAAUUCUCUUUGGGUACAUUAAAAAAGUCGGCUAACUCAACACUAUACUUACAUUGAUUACUGAGUUUCCAAUUUUGUUUACCUUUUUUUUUUAUUAAUUUGACAUUGUUCAAUAUUAAGUAUCAUGUAUGCCUCAUAUUAUUUUAAGAAUUUCAUAUCUAUAAACACAAAUAACAAACAACAUAAAUGAUAUUAAUCUCAUCUAACGCCUCAAGAAAAACAUGCAUACUUGGAUGUAGACAAAAAGCAAAUUAAAGAGCACUUCUAUUGUCUUAAUCUGCCAGAAAAUAGAGCAUUUUACCUUUGGAAAUAGUCUUGAUACAUUGAAUAGAAAAAGCACGAUUUAAUUAAAACAUGAACAAUAGCAAUAUUUAUUAAUAGUAAGGAAUUAUUCUAACAGCAGACGAUGUCUGUGUAUUUAGCUUUUGAAAUAGUAUUUCUAUGCAAUUUUUGUGCUACCUCUCCUUCAAAUUUUCUUCUUCCUCUACCUUUCCUAUCUUAUAAACUAUAGUAUUUAUGCUCGCCCCUCGCCUUCGUCAAUCGGACCUCAUCAUGUCCAGCUUUCUUAACAGAAGCUCCGUUUCCGAGAAUAGUCUUGGUUUGCUCUCAAAUGCCUAGUUUGGACGGGUUCGGCCACAUGAGAUCAGUGGCGAAGUCUGAUUCUCAGGUUGGAUCCUUCGGUGCUUCCUUGUCGUCCGUGAUUGAUUUCCUUAAAUUGUGCCAUCGGUUGAAGGUAUAGUGUGAAAAUGCUUGUUUUGAUUUUCUUUGGUUUUACCAAAAUAGAGAAGGAAAGUGUCGAGCAUUUGUUAGCUAUCAAAUGACUUCUUAGAAGCGCCAUUUGAUAAUGGAAAUUUUCCUUUAUGCUAGUUUUGCGAGUACAAAUUAAGUGCUCUUUUAUGAGAUAACUUCUUUUGCUAGAUAAUUUGGCCUAAAAUUGAAAGAUGUUAAGAAAAUGGCUGAGAGUUUCUUAAAAAAAAAAAAAAAUUCAAAUCACAUGAAAGCAAUCCGAUGAAGAUUGUAGUUUCGCAGUAGUUUCUGAAACUGGGUGUACCAACGCCCAGUAACCUUAGGAAGCUAUGUGGAUAACCAAGAAAUUGGGUGAUUUUGUCUUUUAAUAAUGCUUGCUCAAACAAGUUCAUUGUUAGAUUGGAUUCGAUUGCAUUACCGAAGGUUGAUACUGGUUGGUGAGAGUUAUGACAAAAGUCAUUGUAUAGUAGGACUAGGAAUGGGAAUUAAGCCUUCAUUCGCAUCUUUGGAUGUAUAGUAACCCGGAAUUCAAAAUACUUUUUAAUAAUAAAUUUCGUUCUUCAUAGAACAGGACAGGACUUCAGGAGAACUUAAAAAUGCUCUUCACGAGGCUUUUCUCUUUAUUUAGAUCAUGAGUUAAUUGCUGGCGUGUUUUUGGGAUAAUUGUUCUUUUAUCCUUUUGUCUUUGCCAUUCUCUUUGAUGAACUGCUAUUCUAGCUGCCUAGAUCUAUGAUUAUUAUUUAGGUAGGCCUAAUUGCAUUUCCUGUGAAAUAGCAUCUAAAAGAUUUCUAAUCUCUCUCUUUCUCUCUCCCCCCUUCCCAUUCCUACCUUGCACCCCAAAAUAAAAGGACUACAAAAUGGAGAGGAUGGAUCAACCAUGGGAUAAAAGGUCCAGAAUC